Molecule: long non-coding RNA, 1339 nt
Organism: Asparagus officinalis (garden asparagus)
Lineage: Eukaryota; Viridiplantae; Streptophyta; Magnoliopsida; Asparagales; Asparagaceae
Exons: 3
Source: RefSeq, a predicted model, not a curated record
ACUCCUCCUCCGACUUUACGCUCGAUUCUGAGCGCGCGGGGUGGGCUGAUAACCUACACAUGUAAGAAUCGCAGGAGUACGGGGCUAGUUUUCCCCAUGGUACCUCCGACGAUCAAGUCAGUUAUGGAACUUGAGUGAGGUUUGGGGGAAGGUCCUUAGGCCAUUGAGGUCCUUGGAGCGUACUCUUUUGAGAGUUUUGUAGUUCUUUUUUUAACCAAUGUAGGUUCCUUGUUUUUAUAAAGAAGAAGUAGCCAAACAAUUAUCACUUACCCCUCUCUAGGGGUGGCAAUCGAGACCAAAACCCAAUAAUCUACCCAUACCCACUCGCUGAAUAGUCCAACUAUACCCACCCAUAUAACUAAGCGGGUCCUAAAUAGAUGAGUAUUGUUUCUAUGCAGCAUAAACGGUUCAUAACCGGAACCGCCCAUAAUCCAACCAAUCUGGUCCGCCCCUAUACCCACGUUCUCCUUUCUCCCCUCUUUCUCAAACGCUCGAGCCCAUAGUUCCGCUCUCUCCUCUCUCAAACGCUCGAUUUCACCUAUCUCCAUCGAUCCAUAGUUCCUCAUCUCUCUCCGAUCAAACAGCAGAAUCAAAUCUUCAACUUGUGUAGGCAACGAUUAGGGUUUGAGUCUAGUUCGAGCGUCUCUCCUGUUCAAAUUCAGGCCUUUGAUUGAGCAACUUCAACAUUCAGGUCUUCAAUCGAGCUAAUCACUGGAUUUUGAGCUCGCCAGAAGGCUCACGACCUUAAUCGCCUCGAGGUGCAGAGGAAGGACCUCAACUCUAAAGUGAGAAUGUUGCUGGAGGAAUUGCAACUGCUUCAGGAACCUGGAUCAUACGUUGGUGAAGUAGUGAAAGUUAUGGGUAAAUCAAAAGUUUUAGUGAAGGUUGAGAGGUUUGCUUGUUUGUACACCAGCAAAGUGUCGAACAUAGGGUUGUAUUCUCCUGAAAAGUACUAUAGACCAAGUGGAGACUCCAUGCCUCAUGAAUUCGAUAUCCUUGGAGCUUAAGCUGUCAAAGCUGCACCAAUUAAUUUGAGGACCACAAACUGGGGUCGAUGGAUGUCAAGAUAAAACUGUGUUUAGAACGCGCUGAUUCUGUCAGAGAUUGCUGAUGUGCAAGCUCUGUUAAAAGUGUUUUUAGCUUCCAGAUAAGGAAAAAAACAUUACCUAAUUGUAAAUGUCCGCCUAAAUGUAGUUUGAAAUGUUCACUUUUAUUCAACAGGAAACAUGUUUUCUAAUCCAUUUCUGGAGUGGAAGAAGGUUUUUUUAGGCAUUUCUAUUGACUGUGUGCUGUUUUCCUUUGUGCAACUGUAAUUUAUCGUACAACAAGCAUAUGUCAA